Molecule: long non-coding RNA, 36530 nt
Filed under: Triticum aestivum (bread wheat)
Lineage: Eukaryota; Viridiplantae; Streptophyta; Magnoliopsida; Poales; Poaceae
Description: long non-coding RNA (TAES_LNC000223)
Source: RNAcentral
CCAAGAAAGGUGGUCCAACUUGAGGGAGUCAAGAUCGUCAUCAUCUAGCUCAAGUGGACCAUGUGCAAGGCAAAGAUUUGCUCUUGAUAGGUUUUCUAUUUUACCGGUCUCAUGAUGGUAGGUGGGAGACCGGGUUAUAGGAUCGAUUGCCGUACUAUCAAUGGGGGGCUCUCGAUGAGUAACUUGAUCGUAUCGUUCAUAGAGAGCUCAAACCAUUGCAUCCUUGCAUCAUCUUUAUUGGUUCUUGUUUGGUUUUUCUCUUUGUGAGUUUUGGAGCUUAUGGUCAUCUUGAUGACAAGCUCGAGUUCAUCGAAAACGGAGUUCACUCGCAUCUUCUAUGAUGUUUUCGAUGUUGGAGGUUAUGCCGGUUCUUCUCGGUUGGAGGUUUCACUCCUCUAUUUGUUGGCAUACCUCCCCUGCCUCUUCUUACUAUAACCAGUCGCUGUUUUGAUGCUACUCAUCUUCCUCUAUCCAACAAGCUUGAGUUUGAUCAAUUCGGAGCUCAUAUGCAGAAGUUAUGGCAGUUUUGGUUUCCUAGCGGUAGUACCGCGGGCCGGAGCGGUAGUACCGCUUGGGUGCUACAAGCGGUAGUACCGCUUUAGAGCGGUAGUACCGCUGCGGUCUCAUGCUAGUACCGCCUCGAUUCGAGGGGUCUUUUUUCGUGUCGGGUUUUACGGUACUGGCCACAGCAGUGGGGGCCGUUGUACCGCUCGUAUGCGGUAGUACCGCCCUGCCACCGCGGUAGUACCACUCUGGGCCCAGCGGCAGUACCGCGAGGGGGAGCGGUAGUACCGCUUAUAGGGGCAAGCGGUAGUACCGCUGGCCAAGCGGUAGUACCGCUGGCCAAGCGGUAGUACCGCUCUCUGCGGGGCUGAAGUGGGGGUAACGGUUGGAUUGUUCCCCCCACUAUAUAAGGGGGUCUUCUUCCCCAUUCUACUUUAUCUCUUGAGCUCGUGUUCUUCCCCCAUUGUUGACCUUCUUCGAGCUUGCUAACUCUCAAUCCCUCCAUGGAUUCUUGCUAGUUUUUGAGGGAAAAGAGAGAGGACAUCUAGAUCCACAUUUCCACCAAUCACUUUCUCCUCUAUGUGAGGAGAACCCAUUGGAUCUAGAUCUUGGAGUUCUUGGUGUUCUCCUUCUUGUUAUUCCUCUCAUUUUCCUCCCAAGCAUUAGUUGCUUCGGUGGGAUUUGAGAGAGAAGGACUUGGGCACUUGCGUGUGCCCUUGCCAUUGCAUUUGGUGCAUCGGUUUGAGUUCUCCACGGUGAUACGUGGAAGUUACAAGUUGAGAAGCUUAUUACUCUUGGGUGCUUGGUGCCCUUGAGCUUAUUACUCUUGGGUGCUUGGUGCCCUUGAGCUUGUUCCUCUUGGGUGCUUGGGCGCCCUAGACGGUUGGUGGUGUUCGGAGCUCGAUCAUUGUGGUGUAAAGCUCCGGGCAAGCGUCGGGGUCUCCAAUUAGGUUGUGGAGAUCGCCCCGAGCAAUUUGACGGGUUCCGGUGACCGCCCCCAAGGGUUGCCAAAGUGUACGGGUUCGGUGACCGCCCCCAAGGGUUGCCAUUUGUACGGGUUCGGUGACCGCCCUCAAGGGUCCCUUAGUGGAAUCACGGCAUCUUGCAUUGUGCGAGGGCGUGAGGAGAUUACGGUGGCCCUAGUGGCUUCUUGGGGAGCAUUGUGCCUCCACACCGCUCCAAACGGAGAUUAGCAUCCGCAAGGGUGUGAACUUCGGGAUACAUCGUCGUCUCCGCGUGUCUCGGUUAUCUCUUACCCGAACCCUUUACUUAUGCACUUUACUUUGUGAUAGCCAUAUUGUUUCUUGUCAUAUAUCUUGCUAUCACUUAGUUCUUUAUCUUGCUUAGCAUAAGUUGUUGGUGCAUAUAGGUGAGCCUAGUUGUUGUAGGUUUUGUGCUUGUCAAAUUAACCGCUAGGUUUAUUCCGCAUUUGUUCAAGCCAACAGUAAUUAUUUUAAAGCGCCUAUUCACCCCCCCCCUCUAGGCGACAUCCACGAUCUUUCAGGUGCGAUGGGAGCGGUUUUGCGAGACGACAAAGGUAGGUUUAUUGCAGGAGGAAAUGGAAAGAUUGACCAUUGCGUGGAUGUUUUGAUGGCAGAAGCUUUAGCCCUCAAAUUUGGACUAACACUAGCGCAAAGGGCAGGGUGCAAUCGCCUAAUCAUCAAAUCAGAUAAUCUAGAGGUGAUUGAGACCAUGCAGGACGGAGGACAGUCAACGGGUGCGGUGGCGGCAAUUUUCGAUGACUGCUUCCACUAUGCAUGUGAUUUCAUCAUGACUAGAUUCGAACAUUGUAAUAGAGAGGCAAAUAGAGUAGCACAUGAACUUGCUAGAUUAGCUAGAUUUUCUUCAAGUUUGGAUUGGUUCGAGGAGCCUAUCAAUAAAAUUGUACUCAUCCUCACAAACGAUGUAUUGGUUAUUUCUAAUGAAUAAAGUUUCGUUUUAUUUCAAAAAAAACACACACACACACAACACACUUAAACGCAUGCACACAACACUUUCGCAAGUCGUUGGGCUACUUAGACAACACGAGGUCGAGGCGCGACGUUGUAUUGUCUCAGUUCUUCGUCGGUGUCGCCAUCCUUCUGGGUGGUGCACGUCCUCAGCGCCGUCACCAUCAUGGGUUUCGUUUACGUGUCGCCGGUGGCAUGGCGAAGCUGCGGGGCAAGGUCUAGAUGUGUGAACCUUCGUCGUGCUCAUCAUGGUGUCCAUGUUGUCGAGCUAAGGCCUGUGCAGCUGCACGUGCAUGCCGGUGAAAGGGAACAUGGCCAUGUUUAAGCGAGCACACCGGUCUCAACUGCUUGUGCCGAGAUGCUGGUCAAGAAUGUAAGACGAGAUAGCACGAGAGAGACUGCAACUAUUUUCAACUGUAUUCAUUCACCAUGCUCAACUAUAUUCACCAUCGUCGCACGAGAGAAUGUACAGGGAUGAUGAGCACGUAGAGUGCGGCCACUACGCUAACAACCUCCCUAUCUAACUCAUCUAGAUAAGAUCAUGCAAUCAUGUACGUGAGACUAGAUCUAGUGGUUACAAUUUCUCUAAAAAAGGUCUAGUGGUUACAGGGAGAGAGCUACGUGAAUGAAUCUUACGCUGGUGCAGCUGGUCUUCUAGGGGUAUACCAACAGAGAACACGCUAUUCCUCGCUGUUGGCUGCGUGCAUAGCCUGCGCGUGGAGCUCAAGAAGUGAAGAAGAUGAUGACAGGGGGCAGGGAGCUAAGAGGAUACUAGUACAUGCUUCCAGCUUGGAGCUGCUGUUGGCUCAGUCCGUAUUGUCCAGUACUUUUCGACGACACAUGACGAACGGCGACGAACGAGAGACACCAUAGUAUGCAAAGCUAGCUUGUACUAGCUAGUCUGCUCCCAAUCGAUCGUUUCACAAGCAAUACCAAAAACACACACGUGGCGAGCCGCCGGAAAACAAACACACGCACGCGAUAUUUGGAUAGCCACAUGAACGUGUCGUUCCUGUUUAUCUUUAUCUGCUUCACAUCUCGAUGCAAGUUUUUAAAAGGGGAUAUACUACAAGCUAAGCCAACUAGUACGUCUCCUACACGAUGAUGAUUUAGAAACCUAUACGGACACGGCAACUACUCGUGUACUGAACCGGACAAGAUGUCCACAUCGUGUUUAACUCUGACGGCUGCGCAAUGCAUGCGGCUAUGCUGGCCGGACUCGUCGGGAUGCAGGUGGCGAUGGCGUGCGGCAUGGAGUGGAGCGGCACGCCCUGGGAAUGCGUCCGCGUGGGAGAAGAUGGCGAACGUCCUAUAUACGUACAGUAGGUAGCAUGCAGAGGGAGCUACGACACUAACAAAACUAAUCGCUCAAAUUGUGCACACAAAGAUCCUGCGAUUAACUGGCUAGAAGGCAUAGUGAUUUAUUUAUUUAUUUGCUGAAAGGUGGGACCCAUGCAAAAGGGUUCUGUGGCGUUUGACCGGUCAAUAUAGUGAAAUACGGAGCAAUACGGUGAGUCAGUGACCGUAGAAUCAUCUCAAGUUGUAUAUGGUGACCGUAUUGACCGUAUUCUUAAAUACAGUGACCAAAAUGAGUUUGUGGUACAAGUUCAGUAACCACGAAUGCAUUUCACUCAAAAAAAACCCUCGUCGAAACUUGUUUGUAAAUUUUUUUGUGGAAACGCGUUAAACGCCCGUAGGCUGGCCAGCUGUGAGCCUGCCACCUUCAGACCCGCUAACCCGCGACUCCGGCCAAUAAAUAGCCCUCCACCCCUACGCCUUUCCCCACCACCAACAAAGAUCUUCUCCUCUCUUACUCUAGCCCUCGCCGCCGCCACAGAUCACACCUCCUCGUACGUCGCUAGUCGCUGCCACCAACCGAAGCGAUGGCCGCCUCCAACGUCGCAUCCAAGGCCCUGGCCGUCGCCGCCAUCCUGUCGGUCGCCGCCUUCUCCGUCGUCUCCGCCCAGGAGGCCCCGGCGCCCAGCCCCGUGUCCGCCGCCGGCGUCGCGACGCCGUCCCUCGCCGCUGCGCUCGUCGCCUCCGGUGCCGCCUUCCUCUUCGCCGCCGUCCGCCACUGAAGAGACUGCCUCCGUCUUCCCCGUCGAUGGCUCACCUACCUAGUACAACCACAUAUAGAUCCAUUUAUUUGUCAUUAGCGAUUUGUUCGUUCGUGUCAUUUUGCCCAGAUCUGCUACUGUCUGUCACUCGGUGAUGGUGAUUAGUAUCUCCUUAUUAGUAGAGAUUGUACCCGUGUGCUUGUAGAUACUAUUUAUCCGGUUUGAUCUAGUACUCAUAUGAUCGCUCCAUUUAGUUUUGAUGAUGCUUGCUGUCUCCCCUGUUUUUUCGUGCUUAUUUCCAGUCUCGCGGUGUAACCCUUUUCGAUGAAAUAGUCAGUUGUGAUUCCGAAAUUUUGAUGCUCGUGGGUGCCGUGAAUCUAUUUUUCCAUGAUCUGGUGCCACCGUAUUUUGCUUGUUAUUGUACUUUCUCUCCUCGAUUUACUAUAACGUGCAAUAGGUGUGAACCUAGAUUUAAUAUAACUAGCCAUUUGAAUUGGUGCGCCACUUACCAUUCACAUUGUGACACUUUCACUGGAAAAAUAAGGCCAACUCGACCCGAACGGACUCGGUUUUUGUCAGACGAACAAUGUCCGAUUUCGUCCGCGGCCGUGCGCCCAACGCAGAGAGACGCAUUUGACAUCUAGGUGUGGAUUGAUAGCAGGGUCGUCAGGUCCAUUUAGUUUUGAUGAUGCUUGCACAUCUAUAAAGAUCUUAUACCUUUCCUACUUAUUCACCUCUUUGAUUGAAAAAACGUCCGUCCAUGUGGCGGACAUUUUACUUGUUGCACCAUCACGCACGAUCAUGUCCUUCUGCCACUUGUUUCAAUCAUCUCUUUGGCACGGUGGCUUGUAUGUCCAGCAUGGUGCAACUGACCACCAUGGUCAAGAUCCCCACAUUCCGUUGAGGCAUCAUCCAUGUGGCAGACAUGGUAGUACAUUUAUGACGGCGAGCGAGCAUGGCGGCGGGCAGCGGGAGGAGUGCGGUCAAUUUGGUGGAUUAGUCAAUAUUUGGAGGUUGAUUUUGGAUGGGUUCGGUAUGUCGUACCCAUAUCCCCCAGAUAUGGACGUCAGCCGGAACGUUUGGGCUGAGUUUGUUAGGUCCGGUUGGGUGAGAAAUUUCGGUCCGAGCAGGCGGUCCGGCCGUUUGGGACGGAUAUAGAAGCUCAAGUUGUAGAUGCUCUUAUGCAGUUUAUUUUUUUAUAACAAAUAAUGGGGUAUAAAUCAAAGAGCUACGUUUGGGAUGGAUAUAGGAGCUCCUGUUGUAGAUGCUCUUAUAUGCAGUUUACUCUUUUAUAACAACUAAUGGGGUAUCAAUCAAAAGAGAAUAAAUCAAAUUGGUUGUGACAAGGUCGCAUAUAUACACCAGGCAUCAACGGGGCGAGGAUUUGCAGCACGCAGGUGAGGGGCACUCAUGCCCCUGGUGUCGGCUUUUCUUUUUGGUUUUUUUAUUUCAAAGUCCUAAAUCUUUUAAACAAAAUUUCAAAUUGAGUUGUGUUUUCAUAUUUGUGUUUCUCGUGACUAGCUCUUUGAAAUAAGAUUCAUUUAAAAUAUAUUUUGACGACUUUAAAAAAAUAUGUCGUUUCAAUAUUGAAACGUAGUACGAGCGACUAAUAAAAAUCAAUUAUUUUGUGUCUAGGACCAAUAGGAAAAAUUGCUUAAAAAAUAUAUCUCCAAAACUUGUUGAAACUUUGCAUUUUUAGAUGCAAAAACCAUAAGUGUCGUCAUCAAAACUUAAAUAUUUUUGUGGGAUUUUCUUUUUACCGUGUCCUCAUGCGGGAUUCAACUAGAUCACGAGGCAAAUUGAACGAGCGGCAGGGCUCGGCAGGUGAGUGCCCCUGCGAAUUUCCGAGCAUCAACGUCCAUGGUUCAUGGGUAGAGAAAGAAAGGAAGAUGCUAUGUUCCAAACGAAAGUUCCCGUUCCAAACGGCAUUGGAUGUUGGUAUUUUGUAGUGCUUGAUAGCGAAUCCUAAUACAAAUGUGAUGUGACAGUCAAGAUACACGCUGUCCCUAAUAAUGGAGAAGAAAAGAACUACAUAUGAUUUCAGUCGAAUCUUUGAAGGUCUAGAAUUCCUGUAGCUUAACUUGGCAAGAAUUUAUAUCUCUGAGGACGCGGCAGCCAUGUUGCAAAGUGUAGAGAGAAGCAGCGAAGCAUGCCAAUUGAGACAAUUGACACAUCGUUGUCCAGCACCAACCACCUACCGCCUCUCCACUUCUCCGGCUGUUGAAUUGAUCUUUAAAGCAAGUAUAAUAAGGUGACGUAGGCAGACGGUAAGACUUUAAAUAUUAUAUCUUUGCUGAAUUGGAUGAGGGAGAAGAGGAUAGAGAAGAGAAGCGGGUUGUAGAUUUACAGCCGGCUGUAGCAUCAUUCAAGAAGCUAUGUGAGAGUGUAUGGUGGGCCAUAUGAUACAAAGUAGUACUUUUUUGUAGCCUCCCUACUACUAUACAUGUUGAUUAUUAUAAUGGCUAUAGAUGACAUGGCAACAUGUUAUAGUCAUCAAUCAGCUAUAUUAUUAACCAUGCUCUUAAAAUUCCGCUUAAGGAAACCGAGAAUUCCACCCAAAAAACGAAAUUUGAAACGCGGUUCAGCUUGAUCAAGCCAGUUGUGGCUGGAAUAUACUGCCUGGCCCUUCCUCUUCCCUCCCCUCAUUCCGUAUUAUAACGGCCCCUCUCUUUGCUGCAUCUCCCUCCAUCUCCAUUGCUCGACGCCUCAAAAACCCUAACUAGACCUUCAUCCCACUUUACCUCCGGGAAUCAACCUAGAUCGAUGGCCAGGGUUCCCUCCGCCGUGGUCGCCUUGGCGAUCUCCGUGGCCUUGGCCGUGUUCAUCGGCGUUGCCUCCGCCGCCGAGGUGCCUGCCUCCGCCCCAGCCCCGGUCUCCAGCGCGUUGGCGACUGCAGUCUCAGCACCUCUCUCCGCCUGCUGUGCCACCGUGCUCCUCCUCGCCUUCCCCCGCCACUGAGACGCACGUGUCGUUGUCAGAUCUACCGGUAUGCUAGUUGUAGUGGAGCUAGCUUGAUGGUUCGGAGGCGUGUUUCGACUUUGUGUGAGGAUUUGGUUUCGUGUUAGCUGAGGAUUUGAGAGGUUUCUACCAUAUAAUUUUAUAUUGGCCAUGUACGUACUUUACUUAUUAGCCUGAUCAUUACGGACUUAUGAUAUUAUUACGGUUGUCACAAUUAUGCUCGCUCAGCUAUCAUCUGUGUGUUAAAGAUUACUCUGGUUGUGUUAUACAACAUGUUUGCUGAUCCGUUAUAAUUGUGACGAUAUCAAUCAAUCAAACAGAUAUAAAAAGAAGCAGGCUUGUUCAGAACGGUAAUCUCCAGCCCAUUGUGCUGUCGAGUUUCCAUGGUUCCGGAUCGCUCGCGGUCGGUUUCUUGUUUGUGGCAUGUUUGGUGUCCCACCCCGACACGAAAGGGAAAGCGUGAGGAUCUCCAUCUCCAUGCCGGUUUUUUUCUGCCAAGGCAACAAAAAGACAGGACCAACUUCACGAGCAGUCACACGUUGUACGUGUGACUUUGAGUGGCGGUCCCUGUUUCUUUCACAUGGGUAGCAGUUGGGGUUCGGCCUUCGCUCGCAACUCAAUAAUGAAUGUCGUGAAACAGAAAAGCUUGGCGUGCAACAACGUUUACCUACUGUCUUUGGUUCUUACCCCAAACAAUCCUAGUCAAUAUGCAGCCACACUAUGCACGCAGAGGAAACAGAAAUGAAAAACUGGAUUCACGACGCUUGUUAAGCGAUCGGGGCUCGGGGCUCACGCACAGCCUGCCUCUGAUCCUUCUCCAACGACCACAGCGGGCCGAUGCUUUCAAGCCACAGCCACAGGUGUCCAACUGUCAAGCCAGAACGCCAGUAAUAACCAGACUUAUAUGCUCCUCAAACCCUUGUUUCAACCGUUUCUUUUUUCUUUUUGCUGGAAUAUAUUUUCGACCAUUUCUUGCUACUAAAGGAUGGAAUCAUGCUAUAAAAUUCCUGUCUGUCCCAACUCUUAACAACCCAAUACAUUCAUCAUCCACGGGGUGUUUUAUUUUGUCUCACCACUGCACUCAAAGAUUACACAUAGACCCGGAUAAGUGCAGAUGCGAAAACGAACGAGACCUACCACAUAAACACAUGUUCGCAGUGCUUCAAUGCCGUCACAAGGUCAUCUGCUCGCUUGGAAUGCGCUGAAAUCAGGAAAUUAUGUACAAACAGUUGCAUAAUCACCUGGCGAUACAAAGGUCCUCGUCCAACAAGUUAGCUUUUUUCUGCCAAGGCAACAAAAAGACAGGACCAACUUCACGAGCAGUCACACGCUGUACGUGUGACUUUGAGUGGCGGUCCCUGUUUCUUUCACAUGGGCAGCAGUUGGGAUUCGGCCUUCGCUCGCAACUCAAUAAUGAAUGUCGUGAAACAGAAAAGCUUGGCAUGCAACAACGUUUACCUACUGUCUUUGGUUCUUACCCUAAACAAUCCUAGUCAAUAUGCAGCCACACUAUGCACGCAGAGGAAACAGAAAUGAAAAACUAGAUUCACGACGCUUGUUAAGCGAUCGAGGCUCGGGGCUCACGCACAGCCUGCCUCUGAUCCUUCUCCAACGACCACAGCGGGCCGAUGCUUUCAAGCCACAGCCACAGGUGUCCAACUGUCAAGCCAGAACGCUAGUAAUAACCAGACUUAUAUGCUCCUCAAACCCUUGUUUCAACCGUUUCUUUUUUCUUUUUGCUGGAAUAUAUUUUCGACCAUUUCUUGCUACUAAAGGAUGGAAUCAUGCUAUAAAAUUCCUGUCUGUCCCAACUCUUAACAACCCAAUACAUUCAUCAUCCACGGGGUGUUUUAUUUUGUCUCACCACUGCACUCAAAGAUUACACAUAGACCCGGAUAAGUGCAGAUGCGAAAACGAACGAGACCUACCACAGAAACACAUGUUCGCAGUGCUUCAAUGCCGUCACAAGGUCAUCUGCUCGCUUGGAAUGCGCUGAAAUCAGGAAAUUAUGUACAAACAGUUGCAUAAUCACCUGGCGAUACAAAGGUCCUCGUCCAACAAGUCAGCUUUUUUCUGCCAAGGCAACAAAAAGACAUGACCAACUUCACGAGCAGUCACACGCUGUACGUGUGACUUUGAGUGGCGGUCCCUGUUUCUUUCACAUGGGCAGCAGUUGGGGUUCGGCCUUCGCUCGCAACUCAAUAAUGAAUGUCGUGAAGCAGAAAAGCUUGGCGUGCAACAACGUUUACCUACUGUCUUUGGUUCUUACCCUAAACAAUCCUAGUCAAUAUGCAGCCACACUAUGCACGCAGAGGAAACAGAAAUGAAAAACUGGAUUCACGACGCUUGUUAAGCGAUCGGGGCUCGGGGCUCACGCACAGCCUGCCUCUGAUCCUUCUCCAACAACCACAGCGGGCCGAUGCUUUCAAGCCACAGCCACAGGUGUCCAACUGUCAAGCCAGAACGCCAGUAAUAACCAGACUUAUAUGCUCCUCAAACCCUUGUUUCAACCGUUUCUUUUUUCUUUUUGCUGGAAUAUAUUUUCGACCAUUUCUUGCUACUAAAGGAUGGAAUCAUGCUAUAAAAUUCCUGUCUGUCCCAACUCUUAACAACCCAAUACAUUCAUCAUCCACGGGGUGUUUUAUUUUGUCUCACCACUGCACUUAAAGAUUACACAUAGACCCGGAUAAGUGCAGAUGCGAAAACGAACGAGACCUACCACAGAAACACAUGUUCGCAGUGCUUCAAUGCCGUCACAAGGUCAUCUGCUCGCUUGGAAUGCGCUGAAAUCAGGAAAUUAUGUACAAACAGUUGCAUAAUCACCUGGCGAUACAGAGGUCCUCGUCCCUUUUUAACCAACAAUUGCUGUGCACGUCCUUGUCCUUCCACCGUUUCAUUCAACAUGGACACCAUCUACAGCUCGUCGCGAGGUUCCACCUUAGCAGCGGUAGCGGGCUGGUGCUCAAGCAGAUAGCGAGCAGCCAACGAUGCUUGCAUGGCUGCACCGUAGGGCAGUGCAUCCUCGUUGAUGGUGAAGUAGGGGGAGUGAUGAGGCGCCUGCGGUCCACGAGUCUCGUUGAGCAUCCCCACAAAGUAGUAGUAUGUCUUGGGAACGGCCUCGGUGUAGAAGGAGAAGUCCUCGGCACCCAUCAGUGGCUGCUUCUCUCUCACGUUGUUGGGGCCAACCAUCUCACUGCACACCUUCGCAAAGAAAUCGUGAAGCUCAGGAUUGUUGAUUGUUGGAGGGAAGAAAGGCUUAUCUUUGUCAAGGAAGUCCACAACUGCGCUGCAGCGCUGGACAGAUGCCUGUGUGACUAUGACCUGAGACCAAAAAAAAAAACUUUUGAAGUUAAACAAACGAAAUUUAACUACAGAUCCUUGAGUCUGUAUAUCCUUUUUUAGCGAUACCAGCUUUGACCGUUCAUGAUAAAAUAAGCAGCAAGAAGCACUACCUUUCUACAAAACCCAAAUUGUGCAACACUGCAACUUUCAUAAUUUAAAGUAGUACUACAGAAUAAUAAUCAGGCAACAGAAUGACCACCAGGCUCGUUUGGUUAUGAUUAUCCUUGUUCGUAGUGCGAAAUUGACAUAGGCGGCUACAGGCCGAGCUGCUGUAACACUUUGUAUAAAUAGUACUGUUAAAUCAUUUUACUUCUAUAAAUAGUACAAUCGACAGCGGCAGUCUGUUCACCUCGAACUACACCAACCAUCAGAUAUGCAUUAAACAAUAUUCCUUGAUUCUACAUUCUUUUUUCUUUAUCUCGACUCUUCUAGAGAUGUCAAUUUUCAGCACUGUAGUAAGUCAAUUUGCAAAAGUUAAUGCUAACACUUCCCUUCAUUUAUCAGGACUUCCUAUUAUUUGGAGGCGUUGAUGUAUUGUAACAUGUUUCAAGUAAUCUUUCAACAAAAUUUAUUGAGGUCUCCUACCAACACAUGGGCUUAUGCCUUGGUUAGCUUCGAUUCAGGUAGUGUGACUUCUCGACUUGCCAUUUUGAUAGUAAGCAUAACUAUAAUUUUGUUACAAAGGAAUUCAAGCACCAACCAUACUCCUUUAAGUCAGUUUUGUUUCUUCAUCUUUCCAAGAGCAAAUCAUACGGAACUUAAUGACACAUAAACAACACACAAUUCCCAAGUUAUAAUGUUGUUACCCUCGUUGUUACCUCUUCAAUUCGCUGCUUCAAUUGAUUAAAACUCUCCUUCAUAAAGGCUCGGAAGGUACCACCUAUUGUCACUGAAUCAGGGAUAACAUUGAAGGCUCCACCACCUUGAAACUUUCCAACCGUUACUACCUGCAGAAUAAAGCCAAUAAAAAGGAGGGUAAUGAGAUGUUGUGGUACACAGGAAUGACUACGGGCGAAUGGGACCCCAAAAACGAUAUGGCAAUGCUAAAGGAAUGACUAGGACUAUCACCAUUUAUCAUAUUAUCUAUAGCCUAAAGGCAGCCGACUGGAAGAACAUAUGAAACAUGACAAGGGGAACAUUUUAUAAAGACGAUCCAUAUAAUAGGUCUGUAAUGUGCAGAAACUCAUUUCAUCUAUGAAAUCAUAAUGCUAGACAGACAGUUCAGGAGUGUAAGUCAAAAAACUUGUGAAUUCAGAUACUAGAUAACAAAGAAAUCUUUGUAGUUACGAUCAUAAUUCUGGGAAUAUUAGGAGUAGACAGCUUCCAUGUUAGGAUGUGAUUAGUUAGCCUGCAGUAAAUCAGAACAAAUAACAAUUUUAAUAGGUACGGGCAUGUUAAUCCUCAGGAUCCUGACAAGUUUUGAGUAUCAAAAAAUGGGUCAAAAUGAUCUAUGCAAACUCCACAAAAUGAGCUAUCUAAAUCACAUAGCCAUGAUAAAGAAAACUAUGUAAGUCAUAUAUAAAAAAGGAGCAGUCAUUAAAUAAAUCAAGUAGCUCAAGGAUUGAAUAGCACCUGUGAGUCCAAGGGGUCAGCUUCUCGGGAAACAAGUUGCUGAAGGCUUACAAUAACAUUGGAUGCAGCCAGUAUUGGAUCAAUAGUGUGAUGAGGAAGUGCAGCAUGCCCUCCCUUUCCACUUAUUACUGCCUCAAAGAAUCCACUCCCUGCCAUUAUAGGCCCAGGUCUGGAUGCCAGCACACCAAUCGGCACACUGUCAGCUACAUGAAGUCCAAACAUGACCUCUAUGUUUUCCACAGCUCCGGCUUCUACCAUUUUCUUGGCUCCACCACCACCUUCCUCAGCUGGUUGGAAAAGAAGGGCUACAGUACCCUACGGUAAAAAAAAACAUGGCAUUUGUAACAUCAGAUUUUGCAGGUAAAUAAAGUUUGAUGCCUGCAAAAUAGGAUUUUUUUUUGGCCAAGGAUUGUGAGAUCUUGACAUAAUUGAUAUAUAGGCAGCCACAUGGUUCAGUUUGUACAUAACUGAUCUGAGGGGAAGUGGGGACCAAACUAUCCUUUGACUAGCUGUAUAUGUCUGAACAAAGCUGCAUGAUCAAUUAUUGGAGAACCGAAUGCACAUGUGCAUUACAUAUGUAUUCAUAUUACUGCUAAUGUGAAGGUUGAUUUGAAAUAUGCAACAGUGAAUCACUAACAUUGUGCAUCUCUUGAGAAUUAGUGUUGAGGAAAAAGAAACAAAAAUCAUUGCACUUGCCCUUUGGCAAAAUCUCCAAGUAGUUCACGAAACAUCGGUGUUGGAGUGGACAUAGGGAAUACCAAAAUCGCCUAUAUUUUAAUCAAACAAAAACCUCAUUUACCAUGACCAGCAUUAAGAAUCAGGUAGUUUCUGAACCAUAAAAGUUGAUAUAUACCACCAAAAGUAAUCCAUCACCACUCUACGACAUGAACAUCGAUUUUUUAUAAUUUAGUUCCGUCAUUUUAAUCCAGUAAACAGAUGAUUUGGACAAGAAAUGAAAGAAGGAGAAGUAUGAAAAUAAAGCACAUGGAGUGUUGAGAUAUACUGAUCUUAUGAUUACAGUUUCAUUUAUUUAUUUAUUUGCAAGGUUACUACCUUUUAAACUCAAAGCAACAAUAAAAUGAUGAACCUAUAGUUAACUGUCAACCUUCAAGCACCUUUUCAGCGUUAAAAGAGAAAAUCAAAUCGUCUUGCUGCUUUUCAUUGUAAACUGAGAAAAUUACAACGCUUUACAAUUCAGAAAGAGCUUCUUUACUAACCUUCAACUCGUCACGGUGCUCCUGAAGAAUCUUAGCAGAACCCAAUAGCAUAGCAACAUGUGCAUCAUGGCCACAUCCAUGCAUCUUCCCAGGCACUUUGCUCUUAUGUUCCCAUUCCACGCUUUCCUGAAGAAGACACAUAAGGGUAUCAUAAGUAACAUGAUCCUUGAAAUAGACAAAGUGAUAGCCAGAUACAGCCUAAUCAUACUUCAGUGUGGGCAGAGAAUACUUACAAUGCUUAAAUUAGCACCAACAAGUAAUUCAAAUAAACACAACAAAUGCCCAGUAACUGGGAAUAGCAAUUAUGCUAUCCACUUCAAGAAAAUGCAUAUACUAAUUGCUCCCAAAAUUUAUUAUCUAUUUGUAUACCAAUAUGGCAUAAUUGUCUCAUCGCCACACAAGACAAGCUUGAAGCUUAGCUUUACUGUUAUAUACGUGCAUAUAGGCUAAUCACAUGUUUCAUUCCCACAAUAAGCAUAAACCUACUAUCGUAUGAUCCUGGUCAAAAGUCUAGGGAACUAGCUAUGACUAGGACUGCUAGUGUAUGUCCCUCUUUUUAAUAAGGAAAGGAGUGUUUGCCUCAAGCCAUCUGUCCAGACUCAGAAGUUUAAGUGUACCGAGACCUGAUAAGCAUUAGCUUGCAUUUCCCCACGGUCAAUUUCAAAGAUAUGGGGCCUCCUGACUUGAAGAUUUGGGAUACAAUUCUCUAUCCUCCGACUUUGAAAUAUGACCUCUCGCACAGCAGUGCUGAGAGGUCAACUGAAGCCAUCGGCCCAUCAGGGCUCGUUUAAGAGAUUCUGAUUUCAUUUUGUUUUUGCAAUCUUAGUUUCGCUAAUAUAUAGAAAGAGUUACCGAGCGUCAACAAGAACAAUUCCUCUCCAAAGGUAACAAGUGGUGCUGAACAAAUUCUGAAAUUCUGUGGCCGCAAUAUAGGAAUGGAUCGGUAGCCAAACCAGAAAAAAUUCAUUUACCGUAGGCAGCAAAGCUAAAACGCGAGGGCCCAAUAUAUAUACAAACAUAAAAGUUGAGUACAAUCCGAAGAGUAAAGCAGAAGAAGAACCUGCAUAGGGAGCGCGUCCAUGUCGGCCCGAAGCGCGACGAAGGGCGGGCCGCCUGUGCCGACGGUGGCGACGACGCCGGUGACCGCGAAGGGAUGCCUGUAGGGGAUCCCCAUGGCAUCGAGCUCGCGCCGCACGAGCUCACUGGUGUCAAACUCCUCGUAGCCGAGCUCAGGGUUCUCGUGGAUCCGCCGGCGCACCCCCACCAUCCAGUCCAUGAACUCCGCCUCCUUGGCCCGUCGCAGAAGCCCCGCCGGGUCGUCUAGCGCCGCCGCCCAGGUCGCGGCGGCGGCGAUGAGGACGAGGGCGACGCGCAACAGCCCAGCAUAGGCGGCCAUGGCCAACAAUAGCAGUAAAUGAAUUCCGCCGUGACGUUCUCGCUUUCGGUUUGGACACUUGUACUGUACCACAGUAUCAAUCAGGCGAAACGCGCACGAGUGGCGUGGGCUAAGCUGAAGUGAACAAGCGUCUCUGUGACCUUGAGCUCGGUUUGGGAGGAUUCCGCUUUUUUACUUGCUCCUUGUUUCUCUGCCCUCUUUGAGUAGUCUUUUGUUUCGAGACGCUUUGGUUCAGUUGGCACGUUGGUUCGGCUGCAGUGGAGUGGUUUGGUUGCAGAGGUGGGUGGGCAUCUAGCUGGUUACCACAAAAACGUGCCCGUGGAAAAGCCUUGUUAUAGUUUGGGAAAAUCAUUUGUUUGCUUGAUGCUCAUGUAAGAUUUGUAUUGAAAUAACGCAGCCUCAUGUUUGCUUUCAUAUCUCGGUAAAUUUGACAAUUUUGACCUCAGAACGAAAUCAAUUCACAGAAUGAACUGCCCGUGAAACUAUUUCACUCCCCUGACCUUUUUGUGCAGCGCCCGCCACGCCGGCGCCACACCCUACGGUGCAGCGCCUAGCACGGGGGCGUUGCACUCCAGUCCACCGUGGCAGCCCUGGGCCCCGCACCCAGCAGUGCAGCGCCUACGAGCUAGGCGCCACACAUGUAAAGUGCAGCGCCUAGCCCUUAGGCGCUGCACUGUGACUUAGAUGCCAGCCGCCCGCUCCCCCUCCCCCCACCCCACCCAUUUGUUCCAGGAGGAGUUACAGAACAGGCGCGCCGGCGGCUUCCUCCUCUCCCCCUCUCAAUCCCCUCUCCCAAAUCCUUCAGAUCCGACUAUUUGGUCCGUGCAUUUCUUCAUCAAUCCAUCCUAGAAGGUACUCUCCUCCAAUCCCCUUCUUUCUAUCCAUAGAAAAUAUGGUAUUUUGAAGAUUUGGGGAAUCCUUGUUUGAUUUGAUUAGAUUUGAAUCUUGCAUGUAUUAGAAUUUUACAUGUAUUACAACCCUUGUUUGUUUGAUUUGUGGAACCCUAGUUUAGUUUAUUUUAUUGAAAAGAUAUGGUUGGAUACAUAGAUUGACAUGUUAUUUCUAUGGAAAAGUUAUUUGUAUGAAGUAGGCCUAGUUUAGUUUAUUUGUACUGAAAUUAUACUCGUAUUGAGAAGAAUGCUUUGGAUACAUAUGCUUUGAAUAUUGCAUCUAGUAGGCCUACUUUAGUUUUUUUGAAUUGAAAAGAUAAUCGUGUUGACAAGAAUGCUUUGUUGAAAUUGUUAGGAUGGUUUGGCUUCUUGAUGAUCACUGGGACAAACAACACCGGCCGUACGCUAUAUCGGUGGAGCAGCGGGUAAUACUGAAAGUGGCCGGUGUUAUGAAUUUCGUAUUUAUUUCAAACACAAAUGCCCCAUAUGUAAUGUUAUGAUUUGUUUGUUUGUAGGAGCUUGCACCUCUGAAGCUUCGGUCUCACGGGGUCACCCUUGGAUGGAUGCGCUAUGAUGAGCGGUACACACCGUAUGUAAGGGAGGCAGGACUUCUCCCUUUCAUUCAGUUGGUCCGCCGGUCGACGCCACCCAACAAUGCUGCAGCACUCACCGCGCUUAUUGAUCAUUGGAGGCCGGAGACACACACUUUCCAUCUUCGGACCGGGGAGAUGACCGUGAUGCUCCAGGAUAUUGCUAUGAUCACCGGUCUUCCUAUCGAUGGGAAUCCUUUAUGUAUAAACACCGAUUCUGAUAGGUGGCGUGCGCAGAUGCAUGCCCUUAUCGGUAUGGUUCCUCCGGAGCCUCGGGAACCAGAAGCAGAAGACAAGAAGAAGGAAAGAGUCGCAGCCGGCGCUACUUUCACGUGGAUAUCAUCGAACUUCAGUACUUGCCCUGAGGAUGCUAAUGAGGACAUGGUGAAGACAUAUGCUCGUGUCUACAUGUGGUACGUGAUAUCCAGGAUUAUGUUUGCUGAUGGCACAAGCAAGAAUGCUCCAUGGAUGUGGCUAAAGGCGUUGACCGUCUUCGAUAGCAAAUGGAGUUGGGGUUCGGCGACACUGGCUUACUUGUAUCGACAGGUAUGAAGUUGUUUCCUUUUCACUUCAUUGAUACAUUAUCAAUGCGCUCUUGCGGCAAAUUUGACCAUAUUCUCUUUUAUGUGCAGUUGGACGAAGCCUGUUGUAGGCACACUGGAGGUAUUGGUGGUUGUCUGCUCGCACUUUUCAUAUGGAGCUGGGAGUGUUUGCCGGUUGGACGACCGAAGACCGUGAAGUACGAGGAUUGGGACGACAAAGACGACCCACUACGGCUCCCCACUUGGGCUCACAAGUGGGAUGUGUUAAAUGAGACGACGGAUGAUCCCUCGGUCAUGUACAAGUUGUACAAGAGCGAGCUGGACGCGAUCACGCCUGAGCAGGUGAACCGACAUUGCAUAAGUGAUUAUCAUGCUUGUAUCGUAACUCGAUAUCAAUUUUGCAUUCUAUCCCAUUUUGCAGGUGGAAUGGGAGCCGUAUGGAAAAGGAGAGAGUUUUGGUAACCCUAUGGAGUUCAGGCUGAAUCCGAUGUGCACUAGGGAUAGGGAUCUCUGGCAUAUGCGGUGCCCACUGAUAUGCAACUGGGCGGUUGAGCUUCACCUGCCACAUCGGGUGUUCCGCCAGUUUGGUUUGUUCCAGCCACACCCGCCGGAGUGGGAGGACACGGACAAGUUGCUACACGCGUAAGAUAUAAUUAACCUUGAGCACUUAGCAGCUUCUCGACGGUUUCGAUGAUGCUAAUAUUCUGUUUCUAAUUUGCAGGUUGGAUAGGAAAAAGCAGCGGAAGAUCAAGGAUUGGGCCAACCAUCACAGGAAGUAUGUCGUACAGUUCGCGCUUAGUGUGGAGCAAGCAAGGGCUGGAAAACGAGCCCAGCUUCGUGAGCACUGCCCAGCUUGGAGGCGCCACAAUCUACAGUGCAGCGCCUAGCUGCUAGGCGUUGCACCGUACAGUGUGGGGCCCCCAGGCUAGGCGCUGCACAAACACUUAGCGAAAUUUUUGGCCCAAACUGGAGGCCUACCUUCUGUUGCUCUCUGGAUAGCUACAGACUUGUGCAGUGCCUAGCUUGGAGGCGCCACACUAUAUAGUGCAGCGCCUAGCUGCUAGGCGUUGCACUGUAUAGUGUGGCGCCCCCGGGCUAGGCGCUGCACAAACACUUAGCGAAAUUUUUGGCCCAAACUCGAGGCUUACCUUCUGUUGCUCUCUGGAUAGCUACAACAUUGUGCAGCGCCUAGCUUUGAGGCGCCACACUCUACAGUGCAGCGCCUAGCUGCUAGGCGUUGCACUGUACAGUGUGGCGCCCCCGGGCUAGGCGCUGCACAAACACUUAGCGAAAUUUUUGGCCCAAACUGGAGGCCUACCUUCUGUUGCUCUCUGGAUAGCUACAGACUUGUGCAGCGCCUAACUUGGAGGCACCACACUCUACAGUGCAGCACCUAGACGCUAGGCGUUGCACUGUACAGUGUGGCGCCCCCGGCUACGCGCUGCACAAACACUUAGCGGAAUUUUUGGCCCAAACUGGAGGCCUACCUUCUGUUGCUCUCUGGAUACCUACAGACUUGUGCAGCGCCUAGCCUGGAGGCGCCACACUGUACAGUGCAACGCCUAGCGUCUAGGGGCUGCAGUGUAUAGUGUGGCGCCUCCGCGCUAGGCGCCACAUAUGUCUGUAACUAGCCAUACCUUCUGUCUACAAACAUAGUAAGAUGAUGUGAAGUAGGAUUGAUACGUAGCAAGCAAACAACUGUGAAGAGAACAUAUGCACGAAGUACUUCACGACACAUAGUAGUUCAUAACACAUAGUACUUCACGACACAUAGUAGUUCUUACAACCAAAUCGAGGAGGAGAUAUAGUAGUUCACGACACAUAUUAGUUCUUACAACCAAAUCGAGGAGGAGACAUAGUAGUUCACGACACAUAUUAGUUCUUACAACCAAAUCGAGGAGGAGACAUAGUAGUUCACGACACAUAGUAGUUCACAACCAAAUCGAGGAGGAGACAUAGUAGUUCAUGACACAUAGGAGUUCACAACCAAAUCGAAGAGGAUGACAUAACUCUAUUGCGUAGAGCAAGGCCCCUUUCCCUUCUUCUUCUUCCUCUCUUCUUACUCUUCCUCCUCCCUUUUUCUUAUGAGGUGAGCCUCCUUAACCACCCUCUCCAUGAAUAUCUGAUUCUCCCUCUCUUCUUUUUCAGCUGCAAUUGCCCAAAGCUUCAUGGUUCUUUCUUCAAAAUCCUUUAGACGCUGGCGGGCCAGAGGCCAGUAGAUACCUGCUGGAUCUUUGUGCCCCGUUGUCGUCAUGGGCUGGGCCUGUUAAAAACAAAACCAAGCCUGGGCAGUCUACAGCCCAGUUGAAACUUGCUCGACCUGAAAAAACAAUAUACAUGCUCAAUAAACGAAAGAAUUCUGCAAGUACAGAAUGAUAACUGGGAUGCAACAGGGAUAUUGUUUUUUCAUCGUGAUAAUAAGUGCAUGCACUUGUUUCGAAAAAUUUGGAGAACUGGGAAUUAGAACGGCAGGUGCUUAUGCUACCCAUCAAAUAAAAAUCAGGUGCCUGAAAAUUCGUUUCGAAACAAAUGAUUCAGCUUUAUAUCCACGUCGACCCUCGGCAUGAUGGUUGGAAGCAAAUGCCAAGUUCAUACCAAAAGAUUGUUAACAACAAUACCAACUUGCGGACGACAAGGUAGUACAAGUACCAAUACCAAACUAACUUAUAAUCUUUUUACUCCUGGCCCUAGUGUUCGUCUGGUAGAAAAUCUUGCAGAGGACCAGCUCCCGCUCCUUCUCUUGCUCUAGAUCCCUAAGGUGGUACUGGUGCAUCACCCAGUUGGUCCUCUGCUGGUCGAAGUUCUUGUUGGUGUGCAGCACCAGAACCUUUUUGCUGCCCGUUUGCCGGCCGUUGACCAUCACCGGCAAGGUAUUGCCGGUGUUGUGCCACAUCGCGUGCAUGCCGCACUCCGACUGUAUCUUGCGACACAUCCACGUGCCCCUUUUGAAUGCCCUAGAAUUGCGCUGGAAGAAAUGCUUGCUUAGGCCACUCAGUGUGAUACCUGCAGUAUUGUCGAACACAGGUUUUAGUGUACGUAGUUGGCAUUUUCAUAACAUCUUUGGCAUGUUGCAGUCACUUGUUUCACUUUUUAUUAACUGUCAAAUUGUAAUUGCUUCACCAGGUCUGCGUCUAAAAAGAAAAAUAGAGCUAUAAACAAAGGAAUAUGUUUGUGCAAGUAGAAGGCCGAUCGGUGUCUUACCUGGAAGUUUCUCAGGAUGGGUGUAGCGUAUGUCGUGCUCGCUGUCGAUGGUUGGUAUGAACAAAUCGAUGAGAGGGUGAGAUCUCGCGCUGUCAGCACUCACUUUGGCCUCAAGGUGCUCGAUCAGCUCCUGAUCCGUGGGAUCGAACUUGACGCCAACCGGCAGCACCGGCCAAUCCUUCUUCGACUUGCAUCGGUUAAUUCCAGUUAUAUGGUACUCAAUGUAUACUAGUACCGCUACUGUACUACUUACUAGUCGUAUUUAGUGUCACAUUUUAACCGUAGGUUUAACUAACAAGUACGCACUUGAAGCCUAAGUGAUAUAUAUAUAUACAUAUAGAUAUACAUAUAUAUAUAUACCGCACAACAUCUCCAUCAUCAUUAUCAGUACAUCCUGCGCAGGUGAGUUAGGAUGCACUUGAUCCCAGAAAGGUAUCUAUCCUUCAAACCAGAGGAGUGCUUCAAACUAACAACACUACAUAAUAUCCAACAAAAGAGGGUCGUGCUACAGCAGCAAAAUACAUGGCUCAGUCUAGAUAUCAGUACGAAUCAAGUUGUGCAUAUUUGCUGUUAGCAUGAACCACAUCGCCGCAUGUCGGGUUUGCAAAAGCCAUCCAUCCCAUGGAAGCUUGAUGCCUUUCACACACUGAAGAUUAUCUGGCAACAAGCUGUGUCGAUGAAUCUCUGGAUAUGGUGAUUCAUGAAACCCAUGGUAUGAUGUGUAAACACAGUCCCCCCUUGCGAAUGGAAGUUGCACAACACGGUAAUCAUCGCCGGUGAUAUGAUCGAUGAUUGAUUGGAUGAUCGGAUAAUUGAGCCCGAGGAACAUGGAGUGGUUGCCGAGGCUGUAAACCCGCCUCUAGUUGAAUACGCCUGGCCCAACGGAGCUAGGAUCUUUCUCGAACACGAAGCAGCCAUAGCCAUCAAUGUCACGAACACCCCAUGCAUUGUACUGCAUGUGGUUUGAUGAAAUGGUUUGGUCAAUUUGGUACGUGCAAAUGAGCAUCAAAUGACCACCGUCAGCUGAACGAGCGAUAAACCACCACCCAUCGGCUGGUAUGAUUCCAGGUCCUGGAAUCAUGAAGGCCAACGCAUUUGCGUCUGCUGCAACAAUUCAAAUUGGAGACCAAAAGGACAAAAAUAAACAAUCAUGUUCAGAGUAUGUGUGGAAUUAAGAUUAUUAUAACAGUGACACAUAUCAUAGACAGAGAAUUGCAAUGCCGUGGUCAUAAUCAUACCCCAAGUUAAAAAAAAUAAACCAAUGACUUUCAUAUUCUAGCAAUAUAUCAUGGUUCAAACAUCAUGUAACAAUGAGAGGAAAACAGAUAUGACAGGGCCUACUCAUAUUCUACCAUAGCACUUACUACAGUUAUCAUAUCAACUCUAAGCAAUAACAUGCGUUGUUAUAAAAAUCCUGGAAAUGAGAGUAACAUAUAGCAAUCAUGAGGUUAUACUCAUAAUAUCUAUUCUAACAAUCAUUAGAUACCAAUUGUUCUCAUAUCAACUCUAACAAUAACAUGUGUGGUCAUAAAAAUCUAGGAAAUGAGAGGAACAUAUAGCAAUGAUGUGGUUAUAGACACACUAUAUAUUCUAAAUUUGUAACAAUGAACAUGCAGUCGUAUUCUUAAGGUAAAGAUGAGAUGAGAUAGAACAAUUACACGACGAUAGAUUCCACCAGUAUAGGCAGCCAAUCUAUGCGUCGACCGCAUAAACAAUGCCAUCAUGCACUAUAGCAUCAGACAGAAGUGUUGGGUGAAGAGGAUCGACGAUGAGCCAUAACCAUGUAUGGCGACCGGAUUCCAGAUAGACUAAUCCCAUGUUGAACACGGCAAUGAGCUUGUAAUCCAUGUAGUCUUCUGAUGGUGUGGGCACUUCGUAGAUUACAACCUUCAGCAAACCGAGGUCGAGCCAAAAGCUCGACGCGUCUCGAGCGUAGUAGGCAGGAGUGUCCGGCGGGCCGCGAGGCUCGAUGGCGGCGGUAUCCAAAGAUGGAAGGGUGAUCUCUCGCUGGGUGUAGAUAUCCACGAGACGCCACGAACUAUCGGAUUGGUGGAUGAGGACGAUCCAGUUGGCCUUCAUGCCCGCCCAAUAGUGGCCGCGCAUGAAGGACAGGUGGACGGGUAGUGGUAGCAUGUCGAGGGGCACCACGACAACCUCCGUAGGAUCAUCAAGUCGGUGUCUGGGCCACGUACGAGGAUCAGGCAUCAGCAAGCAGGGUGUCUUGAAAAGAGCCGGCCGGUUGCAGACGAGUAGACGGUACAAAGACACCGAGCAUGCGGCCAGACCGACGGUGUUGAGUAGGUCCAUACGAGUACAGAUCUUCUCCAAGAGAACAUCGGGGAGGGAAUUCCAAUCACGGCUCUACGUGUCAGUCGGUUCUGCCAUUGGGGUUUUCGGUGCCUGCGAGCCAGCAGGGAAGUGGAUUCGGGCGGGCGAGCGAAAAAGCUUCUCCUCGUGUGGCCGAGCAGUGAGCGGGGGGAUAUGGUACGCGCGAGCUACCAAGGAAGAUAGCGCGGGCGGGCGAGCAGUGAGCGGGGGGAAAUGGUGUGUGGCCGACGAUGGGGAAGAGAGGAGGAAGAACAAGAGAGGAGGAAGAAGAGUGAAAGACGGGGAAGAAAGUGCAUUAAAUCUCAAUUCUACUACUACUACCAGGAUAUACCGUCCUUCGGAGUGUAAAUAGUUACACCAAUGACAUGUGGGUCUACCACAAGAGGGCCCAUAUGUCAGUUAAUGGAGGACAGAAGCGUGCUCUACUGGCAAACAUGAUGGCAGUACCGGGUAAGGAUGAUUUAGUAACACCAACACGCUGGUUCAGCUUAUUAAUUAAGUGUCCCAUCUGCUGCAGCGUGUAUUUUCACUUCACUGCGAAGACUAGUUGAAUAGUUCUCUCUGACUGAGAUGGGGAAUAAUGGAUCGCGAAGACUUCCUUUCUACAUUAUCCCUAUGCCUCUACGCUCACUUCACUCAUUUUGCUCCGUACGUAGUCACUUGUUGAAAUCUCUAGAAAGACAAAUACUCCGUAUUUGGGAAUAGAGGGAGGAUUUUACUCCGUAUUUGGGAACAGAGGGAGGAUUUUACUCCGUAUUUGGGAACAGAGGAAGUAUCACCAUAUGGAGGGAACAGAGGAAGCUUGAAAUAUGAACAUGUCAAUGGGAGGGAGUAAGCCCCAUGCAUGCAUGCAUGCAUGCAACAUGCAACACUCACGCGUACACAUGGAUGCACGCAACACUCACGCACCCAUGCGGCACACAACACACGACGCAACACACACGCUCACGCUCAAAUGCUCAAUCUACUCCCUACGUCCGUGAAAGACUGUACAUUUAGAGAUUUACACAUUGACCAGGGCAUAAUUAAUGCCCAAAAGUAGCAGACUUAUGUGUGCAUGCAACCAUUGAGAGAAGAGAUUAAAUGAAGGUCGUUGCAUGCUGUAAUUAAGGAUAGACAUGUAGCCUAUACCUAGAGCGCAAGUUGGUGCAUUAGUCAAUCAAUAUCGAUUUAGAUUAAAGGCUAAAUGCAUUGGAAGUGUAGAUGUACUACACUCUUUGUUUUUUAGCUGAUUUCUUUGCUCUGCCAACUGACAGGUGGGACCCAGAAACCAGGUGACAAUUUAACCAGUCAACAAAGUGCCACGUCGACUAUGUGGCCGGUCAGUAGGGUGCAAUACGGUGCUCUACGAUGAGCUAGUGAUCAUAUAAUCACCGCAAAACUAUAUAUAGUGACCGUAAAAAGCGUAUUGUUACAUACGUUGACCGCCAGUGUAUUUUUCUCGUUUCAAAUUAAGCCAUAUUAACCGGAAAGGACGCAGUAUGAACUAGUACUAGUACUGCUUUGAUGUGUCCCGUCAACUCGCCGAACGAGGAGAAGCUUGCUUACUACGGCUCUCCCUCGCCCACGCGCGCGGUGGUUCGCAGGACGAGGAGAGGGUUUUGACUACAGCGCCCUCUCCCUCUCCCUCGCCCUCGCAGUGGACGUGCAGCAGUUCAAUCGGUGUCAGAUUGCCAGAAGCAUAAUGUACUGUAGUAUCAUCAUUGUUGGACCUUCCGAAGAGGUGAAGAGCCAAGUGCAAGGUUCACACGAGUACGAACUGUUGAACCUCCCGAAGAGGUAAAGAGCCAAGCGCAAGGUUUUAUAGGAGUUGUCGUCCUAGUAGGAGUGUACUACAACUAUAGCGAACGAUGCUACUGUAUGAUGCCGCCACGUCACGUAUAUCCAAAGUUGUGCCACCUUUUUUUCUCAAAGAGCGUGUUGGAGCUCGUGCAACAACCACACAAGUUGCGCAUACACACAACACAUUUUACUAGUUAUAAAUUCUAAAGGACAAAUGCCAGUAUGCCACACAAGUUCAUCUCCAAUUCAUGUGAUGGAUUUGUGCACGACUAGUCUACAUAUAUUCACAGCGCUACCGUUCACAAUUUACCGUACUCCACUUACACGUUAUAGAUGGGCUACAUGUCCUCCUCCAGGUUCCAGUCCCAGGUGUUCUUCAUGGAUGGCACGAUCCAUAGCGGUGGGCAACGGGAAUCAUUGUCGUAGCUUUCUAGUCCGGUUCCACACGAUGGAGACUCAUCCAAGCUGAAGCGGCAUAAAUCAGGGAUAGCGUGUCCCAGCAUGUCGUUCAUCCGACAGUGCACACUGAAGACACAACCAUGCUUCAUGAACGGCAGGCCUUCCAUGUCGUGCACGGAAGGUGGCAUCCGCUUCACAAUGGGGUAGUUGUCCCCAAUGAAAAGCGAGUACUCUCCAAGAGUGUUCCUCGGCACCCACGUAGCAUCACGGGGGUCGGACUCGGCGCCGUUCAUCUGGUACACGCGACAUCUCAGAUCUGGACACAUGAUGACGUACAUAGUCAAGGUCCAUGCAUAAUAAUGUUGUGCUCAAAUAUGGCGGUCAGUAAUACUGUGCAACAAAUAGUACUACUCCGGUAUAGAGUAAGUAAAAUAACCGGCUUAUUAUAUAUAGCCACUCUUGGCUACAUGGAUGAGAUAGUAAGACAUGGAAAAACAAAAAUGGUGGCAGCUAGUGGGUUCAAGUCUUCAAGGGCCUAGCUAGCUAUACGCGUCCUCCAAGGUAAAAAGUACUCCGACUAGUACGUAAGUAGAGUACUAGUACAACAAUGAAAGAGAAGGCGAGAGGGUUAAAAAAUGGAAUACCUGGGUAGAUGGUGACGGUCCGAUCGUGGUAGAUUGUGUGACCAUGUUGCACAUCAGUGGUACCAUGGGUAACGACUGCUAAGAUAGUUGAUCCCAAUAUGCCAAAGUCAGCUACAAGGUUCCAGGUUAGACCGAAUCGCGGGUGCAAAUGCACAUCCAGGAUCGGCGAUCUUAUUUUGAUCGCGGGAUGACAGGUCCCUGCAAAAUAAUGGAGUACCGUUAGGGAUGCAAAUGAUGGUUUGUGCAUUCCGUUUGUAAUCUCCCGUACCGUAGGAUGGCAACCAGAUGAAACAAGUCCCCUGGCUUGUCACCGCGAAGAUGCGGCCUAGAUGGCGCACGGCGUCUUCGAACGUGCAGGGGUACAAAUCUACCGCCGCCAACAUGCACCAGCCUCUGCCGUUACUGCCUCUUGCAUUGAUGGUAAUCCUUAUGUCGAACACCGCGAUGAGAUAGUAAUCGUCGUAGCCGCGUCGCUUUGUCGGCAGGUCCGCAAUUGCUAUCUUCUUCAAUCUCAUGUAGGCAUCAUCAUACGUAUUCAAGCCCAGCCAGUCCGGAAGGCCGAUCCCAAUGGUGGAGAAGGGGUCUACCGGAACGGCCGCACUGCUGUGGAUGUUGUGCAAAAUGAUGGUGGUAUCCGGCCGGAGGUAUGCAAGCCAAUCUUUGUUGGCACCGACCCAGACCUAUAUAUAAGACGGUGGGCAGCGGAGAAAGUACGAGAUGGAAAUGGAAUAACUAAGUACUACAUGAUCAAACUCCAUUACUGACCUGCUCAUCAGACAAAAUCCGACUACCUCUCAACGUCGGCAACUCUAGCGGAGUCAACGUGCAACCAUGGCCAGGGAGCGGUGGACUGUUCGAAGGAUUUUCCCAUAGAAGAAUCUUCUCCUCGAGGACGCAUGGAAGACCAACAAGCAUGGCCUUUUCCCAAGCCUUUUUAAGCACCGUCUUGAAAAAGUUGGUGCAGGAAGCACCGAGUCUUGGGGCGGUGAGGAUGUCGGAGCGGCGUGCGAUUUCUCUGAGAGGAUCGUCGUCCAAGGUCUCCUAGCCCCAACGAGGAGGAGAACCGCCUGGCGAAUCCAUGGGAGCAGCGACGAACUGCCUUCUCUUCAGGGGAGAGGAACUGGCGAGGAGGAGAUAAGAGCGUAGUAACCGCAGGGCCUCGUCCCUUCCAACUGUAGAUCGUUCCUUAGCGAUGGGGUGAGGCUAUUAUUUACUACUAGUACUAGCAUUAUGGGACGUUAUGGGAUUGCAUUAUACUGUAAAUAAUAGCACUAGUAAGAAAUUUUUGGCACUAGCUAGUAGUUUUUGGCGUGGAUUAAGAAAUUUUGGGUAUGUUUUUGCUAUUUUUUGUACACGCCAACUAGUGUCAAAAAACGUCUUACAUUAUGUGACGGAGGAGUACGUACUCGUACUGUAGCAGUACUAGUACUACUUUCUCAACUAGUAGUGCGAUGUACUGUACUUCUAGUAUAGUGCACCAGUUUUGAACUCUUGAAUAUCAGGGCCAAGGAGCUACAGUUGGAAGUGGAGGGUACUACUGUUCUCUAGAACCAUCGUUGUACUAUCAAUGCAGGGAAAGUACACCUGCGUAGUGGCCUAGUGGGUACUCUCGGUGCUCUAUUAAGCUGCUCCUCUCACGUAGCUGGCUUACUCAGCCGCUCCUCUCACGCACACACUAGCAGUCUGUUUAUCCGCGACGGUUACUGCGGGGGCAGAACAUUUGAGUUAUUUGAUACAGCGAGACUAGGCUUUUCGCUUCCAUUUGUGGAGGUGUAAUGGAUCUCGUCGAACUUUGUUAGUAGUUCCUUCUUUAUGAAUGAGAAGCGAAGCUUUUGCCUCCGUCAAACAAAAACACGCCAAGAGGAAUUUCUUUUAUAGUAGAGCCGAUAAUGGAGUGAAGUCCAUGCGUGCAACGCCACAAGCUACAGAGUAGUAGUAGAGCACAUUACGUACAGAGCCAUAUUGCACAGUUCCCAAUGCCCCGCCAGGCUUUUCCAGCUCCUCGGGCUUAAUUGGGAGGCGGUAGUUUAAAUAUGCUACUAGCUGAUGAGGAAGCUGCAAACGAGGUGCGGCUAGGGCGAGGACGCGAGCCACGAGAUGCUGGGAAGAAAACCCGUUCACAUGGCUAGGCUAUCCAGUGCACCAGAUUGUGGUGCCGCACGUCCGUUUGACUUCAAAACUCAAACUACCCGUGUAAAAUAUUGGCUCGUAGCGAAGUUACUAUUUAAAAAAAAGGCCUUCAUGCGUUCGGCCGGGAUCGAACCCACAAAAGAAGGUAUACACUCCUGCGACCACUAGUAGUACUCGUUGGAGUACAAUGAUACGUCUCCAGCGUAUCUAUAAUUUAUGAAGUAUUCAUGCUAUUAUAUUAUCCAUCUUGGAUGUUUUAUGGGCUUUACUAUGCACUUUUAUAUUAUUUUUGGGACUAACCUAUUGACCCAGAGCCCAGUGCCAGUUCCUGUUUUUCCCCUUGUUUCAGUGUUUCGAAGAAAAGGAAUAUCAAACGGAGUCGAAACGGAAUGAAACCUUCUAGAGAAGUUAUUUUUGGAAGGAAAGCAACCUGAUAGACUUGGAGUGCACGUCAUGAAAGAAACGAGGGAGCCACGAGGUAGGGGGCGCGCCCACCUCCCUAGGGCGCGCCCUCCACCCUUGUGGGCCCCUCGUGGCUCCCCUGACGUAUUUCUUCCGCCUAUAUAUAUAUCCAUAUACCCUAAAAACUUCGGGGAACAGAAUAGAUCGGGAGUUCCGCCGCCGCAAGCCUCUGUAAUCACCAAAAACCAAUCGGGACCCUGUUCCGGCACCCUGCCGGAGGGGGGAACCCUCACCAGUGGCCAUAUUCAUCAUCCCGGCGCCCUCCAUGACGAGGAGGGAGUAGUUCACCCUCGGGGCUGAGGGUAUGUACCAGUAGCUUGUUUGAUCUCUCUCUUGUGUUCUUGAUUCGGCACGAUCUUGAUGUAUCGCGAGCUUUGCUAUUAUAGUUGGAUCUUAUGUUUCUUCUCCCCCUCUACUCUCUUGUAAUGGAUUGAGUUUUCCCUUUGAAGUUAUCUUAUCGGAUUGAGUCUUUAAUGAUUUGAGAACACUUGAUGUAUGUCUUGCGUGGGAUAACCGUGGUGACAAUGGGUUAUUAUAUUGAUCCACUUGAUGUAUGUUUUGGUGAUCAACUUGCGGGUUCCGCCAUGAACCUAUGCAUAGGGGUUGGCACACGUUUUCGUCUUGACUCUCCGGUAGAAACUUUGGGGCACUCUUUGAGGUUCUAUGUGUUGGUUGAAUAGAUGAAUCUGAGAUUGUGUGAUGCAUAUCGUAUAAUCAUACCCACGGAUACUUGAGGUGACAUUGGAGUAUCUAGGUGACAUUAGGGUUUUGGUUGAUUUGUGUCUUAAGGUGUUAUUCUAGUACGAACUCUAGGGCUGUUUGUGACACUUAUAGGAAUAGCCCAACGGAUUGAUUGGAAUAAAUAACUUUGAGGUGGUUUCGUACCCUACCAUAAUCUCUUCGUUUGUUCUCUGCUAUUAGUGACUUUGGAGUGACUCUUUGUUGCAUGUUGAGGGAUAGUUAUAUGAUCCACUUAUGUUAUUAUUGUUGAGAGAACUUGCACUAGUGAAAGUAUGAACCCUAGGCCUUGUUUCAGCGCAUUGCAAUACCGUUUACUCUCACUUUUAUCAUUAGUUACCUUGCUGUUUUUAUAUUUUCAGAUUACAAAAACCUAUAUCUACCAUCCAUAUUGCACUUGUAUCACCAUCUCUUCGCCGAACUAGUGCACCUAUACAGUUUACCAUUGUAUUGGGUGUGUUGGGGACACAAGAGACUCUUUGUUAUUUGGUUGCAGGGUUGCUUGAGAGAGACCAUCUUCAUCCUACGCCUCCCACGAAUUGAUAAACCUUAGGUCAUCCACUUGAGGGAAAUUUGCUAUUGUCCUACAAACUUCUGCACUUGGAGGCCCAACAACGUCUACAAGGAGAAGGUUGCGUAGUAGACAUCAAGCUCUUUUCUGGCGCCGUUGCCGGGGAGGCUAGGUAAGCGGCACUCACACCCCGUCAACCAAGCUCUUUUCUGGCGCCGUUGCCGGGGAGGUGAGUGCUUGAAGGUAUAUCUUUAGAUCUUGCAAUCGAAUCUUUUUGUUUCUUGUUUUAUCACUAGUUUAGUUUAUAAAAGAAACCUACAAAAAAAUUGAAUUGAGAGUACCUCAUAUGCUUCAUCUUUUUAAUGUCUUCCGUGAAAAUAAGGAUUCCGAUAAUUGUGCUCAGUGCUAGAAGAAGAAUGCAUUAGAAUGUUUGGCACUAAAUAUUUGAAUGAUGAGCAUUAUUGCAAUGUUGUUAGUAUGAAUUCCUUGAAUAUCCAUGAUGCUAAUGAUAUGCAAAGCCACAAGCUUGGGGAAGCUAUGUUUGAUGAAGAUGAUAUUUUUUGUCCCCCAAGUUUUGAUGAGCAAAUUUAUUAUGAUGAAAGCAUGCCUCCUAUUUAUGAUGAUUAUUGUGAUGAAACUUAUGCUAUAAAGAGUAGUGAUGAUUAUAUUUAUAAAACUUGUCAUGAUUAUGAGUACCCUUUCUCUGAACAUUACUCUUUUAAUGUGGAAACAAUUUAUAGUAUUCAAGUCUCUUAUGAUACUCCCACUAUUCUGAAUGAGAAGAAUUUUGCUUAUGUGGAGAGUAAUAAAAUUUCUAUGCUAGUAGAUCAUGAAAAGAAUGCUUUAGGUNNNNNNNNNNNNNNNNNNNNNNNNNNNNNNNNNNNNNNNNNNNNNNNNNNNNNNNNNNNNNNNNNNNNNNNNNNNNNNNNNNNNNNNNNNNNNNNNNNNNUGCGGGGGCGACGGGCGCGUGGGCGGAGCUGCAGGGCGCGGUGAGCACACCGGGAAGGGCCGCGGUGCCCGGGCGCGCACGUCGGGCGUGGCUGGAGCGGCACGGGCGCGACCCGCGCGGGGCCACGGCGGGGUGAGGCUCGGGGUGUGGUGGCCACAUCGAGGCAGAGGGGGGAGAGAGGAGGACGAAUGGCGGCUCACCCCCGUUGUAGGGGAACACCGGCGAGGCUCGAUGGAGCCGUGCGAGGAGGAGACGGGGAUGCGAGCGACGACGUCGGGUCGGUGACGAGGCGAGGGCGGCUUCAGGCGGGCGUCGCACGAGGAAGUGGAGGGGCGAGGAGGACGACGGCGAGGCAGCGACGGGCGACGGCUGCGAGGCGGCGCCGGGGAAAGGGCGGCGGUGGUGCAGUCACCAUUGUCAGGGGGCGAACGCCCCGACCUAGAUCGGGUCGUGGGGUGGGGGAGAGGAGCGAGGGGAUCAGGAGGAGUGGGGGCUUCUGCUAGNNNNNNNNNNNNNNNNNNNNNNNNNNNNNNNNNNNNNNNNNNNNNNNNNNNNNNNNNNNNNNNNNNNNNNNNNNNNNNNNNNNNNNNNNNNNNNNNNNNNNNNNNNNNNNNNNNNNNNNNNNNNNNNNNNNNNNNNNNNNNNNNNNNNNNNNNNNGGGGGGAUAAGGGAGGACGGAGUGGGCCGGCCUGGUUGGUCCAGAGGCCAGCUGGGCUGAGGCCCACGGGGGCGGGGAGGCCGUGUUUUCUUUAUCCUUUGUUUUUUAUAUUGUUUUCUUUUACCAGCCUCCAUUUGCAUUUAUUUAAGCCACCAAAUUACUUUGCAAAUAUGUGGAGGUGGAAUAAACAAAUACUAGGAAAAAUUGAGCCCUUCCACAAAAGUUUGGGAGGCUUUUGAAAUAGUUUGCCACUUUUAUAAUUUAAAAAGGCAUUUAAUCUAUUGUUUUAGUCACUUCUUUAAUUGGUUUAGGCCAUUUAAACACCUUGCAAAAAUGUUGGUUCACCACCAAUAUUUGUUAUGGAUUAUUUGCUACCAGAUGAACAUUUUAGAUUUCAUGAGUGACAAAUAUGAAUUUUUGACUUUAGAUUGGAUUUGAAUUUGAAUUGUGAUUUGGAUCAAGUGAAGAUUAGCAACAGUAACAUGAUGACAUGGCACCAUUAGCAGAAGGUUACUGUAUCUUAAUUAUUCGGGCGUCACAGGAUCCAUGUAUGAAAACAAAGUAUGGACUUUGGUUGACUUGCCCGAUGAUCGGCAAGCCAUAAAGAAUAAAUGGAUCUUCAAGAGGAAGAUGGACGUUGUUGGUAGUGUUACUAUCUACAAAGCUCGACUUAUCGCAAAAGGUUUUUGACAAGUUCAAGGUGUUGACUACUAUGAGAUUUGCUCACUCGUAGCGAUGCUUAAGUCUGUCCGAAUCAUGUUAGCAAUUGCCACAUUUUAUGAAAUCUGGCAAAUGGAUGUCAAAACUGCAUUCCUUAAUGGAUUUCUUAAAGAAGAGUUGUAUAUGAUGCAACAAGAAGGUUUUGUCAAUCCUAAAAGUGCUAACAAAAUGCGCAAGCUCCAGCGAUCCAUCUAUGGACUGGUGCAAGCAUCUCGGAGUUGGAAUAUACGCUUUGAUGAUUUGAUCCAAGCAUAUAAGUUUAUACAGACUUGCGGCGAAGCCUGUAUUUACAAGAAAGUGAGUGGGAGCACUACAACAUUUCUGAUAAGUAUAUGUGAAUGACAUAUUGUUGAUCGGAAAUAAUGUAGAAUUUUCUGGAAAUCAUAAAGGAGUGUUUGAAAGGAGUUUUUCAAAGAAAGACCUCGGUGAAGAUGCUUACAUAUUGAGCAUCAAGAUCUAUAGAGAUAGAUCAAAACGCUUGAUAAAAAAUUUCAAUGAGUACAUACCUUGACAAUUUUUUUUGAAGUAGUUCAAAAUGGAACAGUCAAAGAAGGAGUUAUUGCCUGUGUUGCAAGGUGUGAAGUUGAUUAAAGACUCAAAACCCGACCACGGCAGAAAAUAGAAAGAGAAUGAAAAUCCAUUCCCUAUGCCUCAGUCAUAGGUUCUAUAAAGUAUGCUAUGCUGUGUACCAGACCUAUUAUGAACCUCACCAUGAGUUUGGCAAGAGGGUACAAUAGUGAUCCAGGAGUGGAUCACUGAACAGCGGUCAAAAUUAUCCUUAGUGGAAUAAGGAAAUGUUUCUCGGUUAUGGAGGUGACAAAGAGUUCGUCGUAAAGAGUUACGUUGAUGCAAGCUUUGACACCGAUCUGGAUGACUCUAAGUCUCGAUCUAGAUACAUAUUGAAAGUGGGAGCGAUUAGCUAGAGUAGCUCCGUGCAGAGCAUUGUAGACAUAGAAAAUUUGCAAAAUACAUACGAUUCUGAAUGUGACAAACCCAUUGACUAAACUUCUCUCACAAGCAAAACAUGAUCACACCUGAGUACUCUUUGGGUGUUAAUCACAUAGCGAUGUGAACUUGAUUAUUAACUCUAGUAAAACCCUUUGGGUAUUAGUCACAUGGCGAUGUGAACUAAUCACAUGGUGAUGUGAACUAUUGGUGUUAAAUCACAUGUCGAUGUGAACUAGAUUAUUGACUCUAGUGCAAGUGGGAGACUGAAGGAAAUAUGCCCUAGAGGCAAUAAUAAAGUUGUUAUUUAUAUUUCCUCAUAUCAUGACAAAUGUUUAUUAUUCAUGCUAGAAUUGUAUUAACCAGAAACUUAGUACAUGUGUGAAUACAUAGACAAAACAUAGUGUCCCUAGUAUGCCUCUACUUGACUAGCUCGUUAAUCAAAGAUGGUUAUGUCUCCUGACCAUAGAUAUGUGUUGUCAUUUGAUGAACGAGAUCACAUCAUUAGAGAAUGAUGUGAUGGACAAGACCCAUCCGUUAGCUUAGCAUUAUGACCGUUGAGUUUUAUUGCUAUUGCUUUCUUCAUGACUUAUACAUCUUCCUCUGACUAUGAGAUUAUGCAACUCCCGAAUACCGGAGGAACACCUUGUGUGCUAUCAAAUGUCACAACGUAACUGGGUGAUUAUAAAGAUGCUCUACAGGUGUCUCUGAAGGUGUUUGUUGGGUUGGCAUAGAUCGAGAUUAGGAUUUGUCACUCCAUGUAUCGGAGAGGUAUCUCUGGGCCCUCUCGGUAAUGCACAUCACUAUAAGCCUUGCAAGCAAUGUGACUAAUGAGUUAGUUGCGGGAUGAUGCAUUACGGAACGAGUAAAGAGACUUGCCGGUAAUGAGAUUGAACUAGGUAUGAUGAUACCGACGAUCGAAUUUCGGGCAAGUAACAUACCGAUGACAAAGGGAACAACGUAUGUUGUUAUGCGGUUUGACCGAUAAAGAUCUUCGUAGAAUAUGUAGGAGCCAAUAUGAGCAUCCAGGUUUCGCUAUUGGUUAUUGACCGGAGAUGUGUCUCGGUCAUGUCUACAUAGUUCUCAAACCCGUAGGGUCCGCACGCUUAACGUUCGAUCACGAUUUGUAUUAUGAGUUAUGUGAUUUGAUGUACCAAAGUUUGUUCGGAGUCCCGGAUGAGAUCACGGACAUGACGAGGAGUCUCGAAAUGGUCGAGAUGUAAAGAUCGAUAAAUUGGAAGGCUAUAUUCGGACAUCGGAAAGGUUCUGAGUGGUUCGGGUAUUUUUUGGAGUACCGGAGAGUUACGGGAAUUCGCCGAGGGAAGUAUUGGUCCUUCAUGGGCCUUAGUGGAAAGGAGAGAAGGGCCACAAGAGGAGGCCGCGUGCGCCCCCAUGGGCUGGUCCGAUUUGGACUAGGGAGGGGGCGACGCCCCCCUCUUUCCUUCUCCCUCCCCUACUCCUUCCCUCUCUCCCCUCUUGGAAAAGGAAGGGGACUCCAACUAGGAUUGGGAAUCCUAGUUAGACUCCCCCUAUAGGCGCGCCCCUCCUAGGCCGGCCUCCUCUUCCCCCCUCCUUUAUAUACGUGGGCAGGGGGCACCCCAAAGACACACAAGUUGAUCUUUAGCCAUGUGCGGUGCCCCCCUCCACAGUUUUACACCUCGGUCAUAUCGUCGUAGUGCUUAGGCGAAGCCCUGCACCGGUAACUUCAUCAUCACCGUCACCACGCCGUUGUGCUAACGAAACUCUCCCUCGGCCUCAGCUGGAUCAAGAGUUCGAGGGACGUCACCGAGCUGAACGUGUGCAAAUCGUGGAGGUGCCGUGCGUUCGGUACUUGGAUCGAUUGGAUCGCGAAGACGUUCGACUACAUCAACCGCGUUAUUAAACGCUUCCGCUUUCGGCCUACGAGGGUACGUGGACACACUCUCCCUGCUCGUUGCUAUGCCUCUCCUAUAUAGAUCUUGCGUGAUCGUAGGAUUUUUUUGAAAUACUACGUUCCCCAACAAUAUAUUCUUCGGGAUCAUUGCUUCCGGAGAACUUGUGCAUGGUUAACUUGAGCUUGCCGUAGCGGAGUUCUUCAUCAUAGUGGUGGUUUUGAUGUCGCUCUUGCGGUGGAGGAAGGUCUUCAAAUGCUCGUUCCUCGUGAUGUCGCCCUUGGCGUGGAGGAGGGUCUUGAGGCACUUGUUCCACUUGGUGUCGUUCUUGUCAAGGAGGACAAGGCAUAUGCGCUUGGUUUCGCCUUUCUUGUUGCUCUUUGCAUCUGGUGGCUUCUUCUUGUCGUGCUUGACGGAGUGCUUCCUCUUGUUCACGCACUUGGCGGUUGUGCUCGUCGACGGCUCUAGUGACCUCGCGGAGUGCGCGUUGUGCUUCACGUGCUUGUGCUUCACGCUCAAGUGCUUGUGCUUCACGACAUUCUUGUGCUUGUCGGAGUGCAUCACCGUCUUGAGGUGCUUGACGUUGCACUUGUGGAGGUAUUUUCUCUUGCUCCAUUGCUUCUUGCUCUUGUCGUCGCGCCCUAUCACGUGCUCGAACUCGAUCUUGUAAGCCAUUUCCAUGGAAUGGAUUUUCUUGAGCUUGGCGACCUUGGGGAUCAUCACGUCGAUGAAAGCGGGCUUGCGGAGGACUUGCAUCGUAAGAGGAGUAGUCCAAAGAUUGCCGACUUGAGCGGUGACUUGAGUGGCGCCGUCUUGGCGAAGAGGUUGAGGAAGACUCGCGUCUCACGAUCAUGUUGCGGAAUUCUUCCAUUUGUGUGGUGAACUUGGCGUCAAUGUAGUCGCGGUUCCUUGCUUUGACGAAGGUCGAUGGCGAGUUGCUCGAGGCGUUCACCCAAAGCUUCACUUUCUUGAUGUAGAGCUCGUUGGGCGAUGAAGAAGUGGUUCUUGGUGACGUAGUCAUGAUCAUCACCUUGCUCCUCGAAAAGUCGGUUCGCCAAAGAACUUGGCCUAUCCAUUUGGGAAAAAUACCAAGUUACCUUUUCCGAGGAUUGUUGAUGUAUCAAGUAUCGCUCAAUGUAAUGAGAGAACAAUACCAAGUUACCUUUUCUGAGGAUUGUGGAUGUAUCAAGUAUCGCUCAAUGAUGCCACAAUAGGAGAAUUGGUACCGGGUUUGUUUCUCACACCUAGACAAGUAAAGCUUAUGGAGUAGCUUGGUUAGGACGGUGGCACAAAAAUUUCAAGCAAAUGUUAGUCAAGAUAUCGAUGAGGUUGAGAAGGUUCACAAAAUUGCAAGUAAAGCAAAUAGAUCAAACCCAAGAAUAUCACUAGGAACACACACACGGACGAUAGAUGGGAUCCGCACAACCAAGGAGUGAGCUCAAAAUGUGUAACCACAGAAAAAUGCUCUUGUUGUACGGAUGCUAGAGAGACGCUAGCUCGAUUGCUUAAAUGGGCAAGAUACGCUUGUGCACCAAACUAUGAGAGAAACAUGUCAUCUUCAAUCCCAACUAUGCUAUGUAUAUGGGGACCAAGAUUAUAUAUCGAUGCAAAAUGGCUCAAUGCUAUUGCUUACAAGCUCUCUUUUCUCCUCUUUUGCUUAAAAGCUUUUCUUUCUUUCUCUUUUUUUCACUAUGCUUGAUGCUCGAGCCAAAUAUGAUAUGAGACAAGUAUGUAAGAUAUGCACAGAAGAGACUUAGGGCACAAUGAUGAUAGCAAGAUCACUACAGUGCACAAUAGCGUGGCCCGGCAAUUCUCAACUCGCUAGUCUCGAUGGGUAAGUGACACAAAAUGGCUCGGGUUAUCAAUGCAAACGCAAGUAAAUGAACUAAGUGUCGUCGAGGUUACCGUCCUUUCUUAUGGUUAGCAGUGUCAACGGUGAAGAUCGUUGGCGAAGACGACUCCGAGGCGAUGAUGAAUGGCGGUGAUGUCGAUGUCACAUGUUCCUAAGUAGCCGAAACACUUUAGGAAACAGAAACCGCAACUCAAAAUCGGUCAAAUGCGGAAGGUGGGUGCUUUUAUGGUGAAUUUUUUUUAUGGAGGAAAAUGGUGGUGGUAAAGAUAUAUGUGGAUGGGGGAUGUCAAGAGCUUCCAAACGAGCUAAAGAACACGAAAAAC